UACGGAGGGUGCAAGCGUUAUCCGGAUUCACUGGGUUUAAAAGGGUGCGUAGGUGGGCAGUUAAGUCAGUGGUGAAAUCUCCGGGCUCAACCCGGAAACUGCCAUUGAUACUAUCUGUCUUGAAUAUCGUGGAGGUAAGCGGAAUAUGUCAUGUAGCGGUGAAAUGCUUAGAUAUGACAUAGAACACCAAUUGCGAAGGCAGCUUACUACCCGAAUAUUGACACUGAGGCACGAAAGCGUGGGGAGCAAACAGG
RNAcentral lists this ribosomal RNA (254 nucleotides) under uncultured bacterium. RNAcentral describes it as "partial 16S ribosomal RNA". It matches the Rfam family "Bacterial small subunit ribosomal RNA", at positions 524 to 776 of the family's 1533-position model. The record is from RNAcentral.